GACGAACGCUGGCGGCGCGCUUAACACAUGCAAGUCGAACGGAAAGGCCUGCUUUCCCUUGUGGAUUGCGGGUACUCGAGUGGCGAACGGGUGAGUAACACGUGAGUGAUCUGCCCCCAACUUGGGUAUAAGCCUGGGAAACUGGGUCUAAUUCCCGAUAGGACUGCAGGGUGGUGCCUGUGGUGGAAAACGAUUUUCUAGUGGUUGGGGAUGAGCUCGCGGCCUAUCAGCUUGUUGGUGGGGUAAUGGCCUACCAAGGCGGCGACGGGUAGCCGGCCUGGGAGGGUGGACGGCCACAUUGGGACUGAGAUACGGCCCAGACUCCUACGGGAGGCAGCAGUGGGGAAUAUUGCACAAUGGGCGGAAGCCUGAUGCAGCGAUGCCGCGUGGGGGAUGACGGCCUUCGGGUUGUAAACUCCUUUCGACCGCGAGGAAGCCACCUGGUUGGAAGGGUGGUGACGGUAGUGGUAGAAGAAGCACCGGCUAACUACGUG
Molecule: ribosomal RNA, 494 nt
Filed under: uncultured bacterium
Lineage: Bacteria
Description: partial 16S ribosomal RNA
Rfam family: Bacterial small subunit ribosomal RNA
Source: RNAcentral